GGCUAGAAGAAAGAAAAUACAUUUCAAUGAAAGAACAUAUGGUAUACCGUAUGUUUUAUGAACGCAUGUUGAAUUUUCUAUACAAGCGUCAGGUCGUAAGAGUGAGAAUGCUAUGUGUUUAUGAGUGGAUAUUGAUAAAGCAUAGUGGGUAGUAAUUUGGAGCAUACGAUUAAUGAUAAAGGAAACGAAUUGAAAUACUUUGCAUAGAUACAAAUGUAAAAUGGAACCGAACUAAAAAUAUGUAUUCGGUUACCUGUAUUCAUCUAUUGUGCAGUCUGACAUCUAUACGUGAAAAAUUAUGAAGAGCAGAGUAGCAAAAAUAUGUUUCCAAUAUUCUCUUCAGAUAUUGAAAAGAAAUCUGAUUAAAAAAUAUUGAGUUUUAAAAAGGGUUUUCAGUACCAGUAUGGAUUUUAAAUAAAAUGAAAAUAGAAAUAUAAUGUAUAACAAUCAGUUAUAUGUAUUUUAAUUUCUUGGAGAUGCAACUAAAGAAAUGGAACUUGAAGGAUUGAAAAAGAAAAUGAUACAAUCUAAAAGA
Cephus cinctus (wheat stem sawfly) is the source of this 535-nucleotide long non-coding RNA. RefSeq lists it as uncharacterized. Lineage: Eukaryota; Metazoa; Arthropoda; Insecta; Hymenoptera; Cephidae. The transcript has 3 exons. The record is from RefSeq and is a predicted model, not a curated record.